RNAcentral lists this long non-coding RNA (236 nucleotides) under Citrus maxima (pomelo). Its description in RNAcentral is "long non-coding RNA (CMAX_LNC002729)". Lineage: Eukaryota; Viridiplantae; Streptophyta; Magnoliopsida; Sapindales; Rutaceae. The record is from RNAcentral.
CAUCACACACAUCGCGCACACAUCACAUAUCUCACUCUCUAGCCUCUUCUUCAGUUCUUCUCUUCACAACACAAAAGCAAUUAAGCAAAGCAGCAGUUGGUGGCACACUACAGCGGCAACACACCACCACAGUGGCAGAACUCACAGUUAGAGACCGCGAAAGUCAUAGCUUUUAAUGGAUCUGCUUCUCCCUACUGGAUCUGCUCCUCCAAGCUCCAACCAAAAUUUUUGACGAU